ACCCAAUAGGCUAAUAUAGCUAGCUCAGCUGGCUAAGUUAGCUCAUGAUCCAGAUAGCGUUAAGUGAUUUGCUAGCAUAACGCAUAACUUCUAGACCUCCGCGAGAACUUAGAAGUUAGCUACAAAUGUAACGUUAGCUAGCCACUGUAUGUCUCUGACUUUGCAGCAGAAGACGUGUCGCCUGAGUACACAGCAUCAUAUCUUGUGUGCGCGUCCCGUAUCAAACAGAUUACUAUUUUUCCUACGAUAUCUCGCAUUUUGGGGACAGAUAUGAUGCGAGUCAUCAUACCGACGAAGGUAGCCUCCGUCUCUUCACUGUAGAGUGCAUCACGUUAAAGUAAAAAAUAUAAAGGAAUCAAGGAUUGGCAGAGCCAUUGGACCAUGCAGAAAAGCGUUUGCAGCAUUCCUCUAUAGCUGGAAAAAGAGGAAGAAAGCUUGCAUAUGCACAGAAGAAACUACCUGCUGAUUUACUGUGAUUUGGAAUGUACCUCAUUUGUACGUCACUUUGACGGAGAAAGCAUCCACCAAAUGAAUAAAUAUAAUACAUUUACAGUAAAUGAAGUGGUGUGAAAGUAUUAAGUAUCCCAAAAAGAAAUAAGUAAGUAAAGUGAAAGUAUCCUAAAAUUGUACAGUUUGAGUAACUGUACUUAAGGUACCUUGCAUCACUGCAAGAAGAAAUGGGUAAAUAGAAUGUUAACUAAUAUCCUCUUUUUCUAUUUAGAUUUGGUUUAUUUUGUUGCAUAUAUCUACCUUUUGCUAUUGGUUGAUUUUUUUUGUUGUUUUGUUUUUUUGUUCUUUUAGACCACAAAUUGUUGUGCAUAAUCAGAAUGGCACUUAACGUGCAUUCUUUAGUACAAAUUGAGCAUUUCCAAACUUUGCAUGGAAAUGAUUGCAUGCAUGGUUUACAAAUUUCCUUUUUUGUACAAAGUGUUGAUAAAUGUGUGCCCUGGACACAAUGUGACUUGAAGCCUGUUCUUGCAUUGUUUGAAGGGGCAAUAUAUAAGAUUUGGCCAGAAUCUUAGCUUAAAACAUAAAAAAAUUAACUGACCUUAUCAACAGAAUGUGAGCUGUUGACCUUAUCAGCAGCGCUGACGUCCUUGCUUUUUUAGUCUAAUAAAUAAACUAAAUAAACUCUCAAUGUCAAGAAAGGAAAUAUUCUUAUACCUGUUUUCCAUAUCAAACAGAAAAAUACAACCGUACACCUUCUGCAUUCUCGUUUCUCUCUUUCACCAAUCUAUUACGUUGUAAAACUUUCAAUUCAAUUCUGUUUUAUUUAUAUACCGCUAAUUCAUAACAGAAGUUAUCUCAUUGCUCUUUUCCUAUAGAGCAGGUCUAGACCGUACUCUUUAUAGUAUUAAUUACACCCAAGAAAUCCCACCAUGAGCAAGCAUUUGGCGACAGUGGCAAGCAGAAACUUCCUUUAAGAGGCAGAAACCUUGGACAGAACCAGACUCAAUGACGGCUGCUGCCGUGUUAGGUUUUGAGAGAGAGACAGAGAGAGGAGGGGUUUGGGGGAAGGGGAUAGGGUUAGGGAUGCACAAAACUCACUUCAUUCAAACUCAACAAACAAUAUAAAACUCACCAAAACUGUCUUGGUUAGUCUUUUAACUGUUCCAACAAUCACCAACUCUGGUUUGGUCAAAAGAAAUCUAAUGCUCCGCGUUAGAUGUGAAAAAUAUUCUGGAUCUACAUGCUGUCGCUGCCUCUCUGAUGCCCGACCUCCCUCUCACUCCUCUCGGCUUGACGUCUGUCUUGAUCCCGCCAUGUCUUCAUCAUACCCGGAGUCCUGGUCGGAGCCGCUGUAAAUCACCUCGGUACUGUAUUCCCUGUGAUCAAACUGCUCUCCGUCGGUCUCUGAGGCUGUGUUCGGUCCCGGUGUGGCUGCGUUCACUGGGAGGCUGUUGAUCCCCGUCCGUUGCCUGCUCGCUCGGCUCCGGUUCUGGUGCUCAGUCAGCUAAUAGCUGAGUAACUAAGUUAGCUGCACGGCUAAAUGAGCUAACUAGUUAAUGGCAGCUUGCAGCAGUUAUGACAUGCCCCCUAUUGAUUUGGAGUAUGAAUUUGGGAGGUGGAGAGUAGUCUCAAUUCUAACAUAUUGCCCCUUUUAACACUGAUGUUCUUCUAGCAAAAGAAAGUGAAACUGCCCUUUUCCCUAGACAAAAAAAAAAAUCUCAUUAGAAAAUGUGGAGAGAAAGAGGUUGAUGACUUAUGGAGCCAGGACAGUGACUUUGACCGUAACUAUAGGUGAAAUAAAGGGUUUACUUUUGCACAUCCACUUGACAAUUUCAUGUCUCAUGUACUUGGUAUGCAUUGUAUCAUUUCUUUCAUUUAUACAAUGUGUAUUAACCUAUGGUAAUGUUUUCCUGUUGCUGUGUUUUGUUUUAUUCCACAAAGGGAAUUCAACAGUGUCACUACAAAAUAUAUCAGAAGGUGAAAAGAA
This is a long non-coding RNA of Siniperca chuatsi (mandarin fish), 2437 nucleotides long. RefSeq lists it as uncharacterized. The record is from RefSeq and is a predicted model, not a curated record. Lineage: Eukaryota; Metazoa; Chordata; Actinopteri; Centrarchiformes; Sinipercidae. The transcript is spliced from 2 exons.